UUCUAUGAGACAGCUCCUCCACAAUCAACAAACUUAAUAUAGAUGAUAGGUGCCCUCAUAGGCCAUUAUCACUAACAUCUGUUUCCUUGUCCCUCAGAAAGAUUCCCUUUCCCCUUUUCCUGGUGGAGAUGUUGGUGGUCAAAGCCCUUCACAAGAUUACUAAGAAACAUCUAUAACUGGGAAUUCAAAAAAAUGUAAAUAGUUGGCCAGCUAAAGGGGUCAGAAACUUUUCACACAUGCACUGCCUACUUCUUAACUAUAUCAAUUAGGGUUAUCAAAUGUUUAUCAAUUUGAUGUUCUACCUACUUCCCAAGUCUGUAAACUAGGUCACUCAUCCCAUAUGAUGAUAAACUUGUUUCCCUUCUCAUCGUUCUUUUGUAGUGUACAUCCAAAUAACAAUUUUCAUGAUAAAGGUUAAUCCAAGAUCACAUAUGAAGUAUUGGAUCAUUUACAAAGGUAGUGUUUGGACACUUGCAACUGGGUCUAAGUGAACCCAUUUGCAAGAAGUGGCUUUUUUCCGCUGUUUGGGUGGGUGUAAAGUGGUGGGGCCCAUGUAUUUGGAGCUACAAUAGGGCCUCACUUGCUGCAAGAGGUCGUACGGCUGGUGUCAUAGGACAACGAUGCAGCAAGUGGCUUCCAUGCAUUAAAGGCUUCAUUGCGCAUCAGUUGGGUUUUACUCCAUGUUACCAUCCCCUCUAGUGGGGACCCUCUCUCCCUAUUUUCUCUCACGCUGGUCCAGCAGUCUAGCUUCCUUCAACCACCAUCCCCAUCCUCAGAGCUUCAUCGACCCCCUUCUACUACUCAAGGUUUGCUUCCUUAUCCUCUCAUCCCCUUUGCGCAUCCCUCUUCUCCUCCAUGCCUCUCUUCUUAUCCUUCUCUCGCCCUCUGGCUCUCCCUCCUCUCCUCCGGCCAAGCCUCUGUAGUACUUCUCCUUCCUUCCUCUAGGCCUAAAACCUUAAACCAAUUUCUACCUAAAUCUUGACCGCUCCCUUAUCCCUCUUCACCAAUCUCUAUGAUUUGGAGCUCAUCCAUGGCUGUCGAGUCCAUCUCUCGCUUGAUCCACUCAAGAUCGAACCCUAACACUAAUACCCAAUUUCAACCUAAACCCUAUCUUGAUUUCUACCAUUCUACGACCUAUUUGUCUUUGAUUUCUUCCUGUCUUUAUAGUUUUAUGCACCCAUUGGUGGCAACAUGCUUGAUCUGCAAUGGAUCAAGCAUGUACUGGCAUCUGUGGACCUAUAUGCUUAAUCUAUCCCAGAUUAGGCGGUUAGAGAUAUCUAUGUUGGCUGCAUGCUUGAUCCUGAAAUGAUGAUGGUGUUCACUGGUGCUUAUGGAACCUAUGUCCAUCUUGGUAUGUAGUGGUAUCAUUGGGUGCAAUAGUGGUGUGAGUUUAUUUCUUACCCUUUAAAAUGAUGGUGCUAAUGGUUUAGGAUGGGAUCUUCUGCAAUGGAGACGGGUGUUUGUUGUUGCAUUGAUAAUAUGUUGCCAUGAUUGUUGUGUAGAUAAACUUUGUAGCUGUCUACCAGUCAUUACUGAUACAUACAUCAGAAUAUUAUUGCCAUGAUUACUGACUAUAUGCAUUAGCAUUGAUUACAUUAACUUGUGCAGUUACAAAAUUAUGAUUGACUUGUCUAAUGCUUCAUUCUUUCAUUAGUGUAUCUGUUCCUUUAGUGGUACCUAUGGUAGUGGCCACAAUUAUGGUCAUUGUGCUGAUAGUUGUCUUCCUUGUUAUCCUAUUUUAAAUAGAGUCCUUGCAUUAUGAUACCGUUAUCAUUUGUUAUUUUGUCUAUCUGGCAGGUUAAUGUGACUUCCAUGGGUAUUCUACUGAUUAUGGCACACAUGUUAUGCCACUUGACUCUAAUUUUGCCAUGGAUGAUUCCUUGGCAAUUCUGUCCUAUAUACAAAUAACUUACCUUACUUUCUCGUAUUUAUUGCUGCUAUUAAUUUUGAUGUUGAGUUAUAUGUGGAUGGUUGAUUAGCAUAGGUGUUUUUGAGCCAUUUACUGAUCAUUUUGUUGUAGAGCUAUAUGUGACUGGUUGACCAUCGCAAGUAUUGUUGAGCUAUAUAAUUUUGUUGUUGAGCUAUUUCUCUCUUUUGGAACAUGUGAAUUGUAAUAUUGCAAUUUUGUUCUCCCAUGUAUCUUUUUCAAUUUCUCUCUUAGCCAUUUUUUCUUGCAACAACCCAUGCAUCUUCUUAAUUUUCCUAUAGCUCAUUUUCGUUUUCUUUUUAUUUUCAGCUCUAUGAUGAUCGUCCAGUUCCACAUGUGCUUGAGAGCUAUCACUGCAAUGUCCCAUUUUGGGUUUAUAUGAUGCCUCUGUUAUUCACUUCCUCUUUCUUUCUCAUAGUCUACCUUGGUUUUGAUAGCAAAAGGUGACUUGGCUUUCAACUACCAACUUUAUACUUUGUGUUCAGUGUACUGAAAGCAAUACGAUAUCUGAACUGUUUUCCACCUUCCUCUUCUUGUUAGAAAGUAGUAAUUGCAAAGGAAUGAGAUCAUCCACAAUUAUAUAAGUAAAAUAUAUGCCCUAUAGUUUAUCACAAUUAUAUAAGUAAAAUGUAUGCACGAUAGUUUAUCCUUCAAGUUAAGGCUGAGUCAGCAUUAAUAGUCAAGGUGGACCUUAGUUACCUAAAGCAUGCACAGCUGUGAGAGCUGAUCAGGGUGUGAUACAGGUAGAGGAAGUGUAUCUCUCCAAAAAAUUUUGAGAUAUGACACCCUAAAUGGAAGUUUGCUAAUACUAAAAGCUAGACCCACACAAAAACAACCAAUUGCCACCCUUGGUAGUUUUAUUGUAAAAUAGACACCUUAAAUAUUGACUGCAACAAGGCUGAUGAGAAGGUAUUGUAAUGUUGCAACCUUUCGAACACCAUAUAACUGGAAGGGAAAUUAAUUUGUAAGGCAAUCAUAAACCAGUUAAAAGGAUCAGAGUGAUGUAAAAGAUACAUAAGUAUAGGUUGGGAUAAAUAGAUUGGGACAUAUGUGCAGUCGUUUACACAGAAUCAAAAUGAAACAGUGAAAGAGGAUGACAUAGAAAAUCCACAGAAAAACAAGACGACAAACAUGAGUGCACCUUCUGACAUAUCUAUCUCUUUCAUGAGAAAGCAAUUAGAACAAGACCAUUUCUUUAGGCCAAUCCUCUUGUUUUCCUAGGUCCCCCUUACAAAGACCCCAAUAAUUCUUUCAAGCCAAACAACUGAAAAACCAAA
This 3204-nucleotide long non-coding RNA is filed under the name Phoenix dactylifera (date palm). Its description in RNAcentral is "long non-coding RNA (PDAC_LNC005488)". The record is from RNAcentral. Lineage: Eukaryota; Viridiplantae; Streptophyta; Magnoliopsida; Arecales; Arecaceae.